GAUGCCAGCUUGCUGGUGGAUUAGUGGCGAACGGGUGAGUAACACGUGAGUAACCUGCCCUUAACUCUGGGAUAAGCCUGGGAAACUGGGUCUAAUACCGGAUAUGACCUUCCAUCGCAUGGUGGUUGGUGGAAAGCUUUUUGUGGUUUUGGAUGGACUCGCGGCCUAUCAGCUUGUUGGUGAGGUAAUGGCUUACCAAGGCGACGACGGGUAGCCGGCCUGAGAGGGUGACCGGCCACACUGGGACUGAGACACGGCCCAGACUCCUACGGGAGGCAGCAGUGGGGAAUAUUGCACAAUGGGCGCAAGCCUGAUGCAGCGACGCCGCGUGAGGGAUGACGGCCUUCGGGUUGUAAACCUCUUUCAGUAGGGAAGAAGCGAAAGUGACGGUACCUGCAGAAGAAGCGCCGGCUAACUACGUGCCAGCAGCCGCGGUAAUACGUAGGGCGCAAGCGUUAUCCGGAAUUAUUGGGCGUAAAGAGCUCGUAGGCGGUUUGUCGCGUCUGCCGUGAAAGUCCGGGGCUCAACUCCGGAUCUGCGGUGGGUACGGGCAGACUAGAGUGAUGUAGGGGAGACUGGAAUUCCUGGUGUAGCGGUGAAAUGCGCAGAUAUCAGGAGGAACACCGAUGGCGAAGGCAGGUCUCUGGGCAUUAACUGACGCUGAGGAGCGAAAGCAUGGGGAGCGAACAGGAUUAGAUACCCUGGUAGUCCAUGCCGUAAACGUUGGGCACUAGGUGUGGGGGACAU
RNAcentral lists this ribosomal RNA (747 nucleotides) under bacterium. RNAcentral describes it as "bacterial SSU rRNA". It matches the Rfam family "Bacterial small subunit ribosomal RNA", at positions 71 to 832 of the family's 1533-position model. The record is from RNAcentral.